AUUGAACGCUGGCGGCAGGCCUAACACAUGCAAGUCGAACGAGUGGCGGAAGGGUGAGGAAUGUCUGGGAAACUGCCCGAUGGAGGGGGAUAACUACUGGAAACGGUAGCUAAUACCGCAUACCAUCGGAUGUGCCCAGAUGGGAUUAGCUAGUAGGUGGGGUAACGGCUCACCUAGGCGACGAACCCUAGGUGGCCUGAGAGGCUGACCAGCCAAACUGUAACAUCGACACGGUCCAUACUCCUACGGGAGGCAGCAGUGGGGAAUAUGGCACAAUGGCGGCAAGCCUGAUGCAGCCAUGCCGCGUGUAUGAAGAAGGCCUUCGGGUUGUAAAGUACUUUCAGCUAGGAGGCGUUACUCGCAGAAGAAGCACCGGCUAACUCCGUGCCAGCAGCCGCGGUAAUUC
RNAcentral lists this ribosomal RNA (406 nucleotides) under uncultured bacterium. RNAcentral describes it as "partial 16S ribosomal RNA". It matches the Rfam family "Bacterial small subunit ribosomal RNA", at positions 30 to 526 of the family's 1533-position model. The record is from RNAcentral.